RNAcentral lists this ribosomal RNA (276 nucleotides) under uncultured prokaryote. Its description in RNAcentral is "partial 16S ribosomal RNA". It matches the Rfam family "Bacterial small subunit ribosomal RNA", at positions 524 to 800 of the family's 1533-position model. The record is from RNAcentral.
UACGUAGGGGGCGAGCGUUAUCCGGAAUUAUUGGGCGUAAAGAGUGCGUAGGUGGUUGUUUAAGCGUGGGGUGAAAGGCAAUGGCUUAACCAUUGUGAGCCUCGCGAACUGGGCGACUUGAGUGCAGGAGAGGAAAGCGGAAUUCCUAGUGUAGCGGUGAAAUGCGUAGAUAUUAGGAGGAACACCAGUGGCGAAGGCGGCUUUCUGGACUGUAACUGACACUGAGGCACGAAAGCGUGGGGAGCAAACAGGAUUAGAUACCCCCGUAGUCCCUGA